UACGGGAGGCAGCAGUGGGGAAUAUUGCACAAUGGGCGCAAGCCUGAUGCAGCCAUGCCGCGUGUAUGAAGAAGGCCUUCGGGUUGUAAAGUACUUUCAGUCGUGAGGAAGGUGUUAAGGUUAAUAACCUUAGCAAUUGACGUUAGCGACAGAAGAAGCACCGGCUAACUCCGUGCCAGCAGCCGCGGUAAUACGGAGGGUGCGAGCGUUAAUCGGAAUUACUGGGCGUAAAGGGCACGCAGGCGGUUAAUUAAGUUGGAUGUGAAAUCCCCGGGCUUAACCUGGGAAUGGCAUUCAAGACUGGUUAGCUAGAGUCUUGUAGAGGGGGUAGAAUUCCAUGUGUAGCGGUGAAAUGCGUAGAGAUGUGGAGGAAUACCGGUGGCGAAGGCGGCCCCUGGACAAAGACUGACGCUCAUGUGCGAAAGCGUGGGGAGCGAACAGGGAUUAGAUACC
This 453-nucleotide ribosomal RNA is filed under the name uncultured bacterium. RNAcentral's name for it is "bacterial SSU rRNA". It matches the Rfam family "Bacterial small subunit ribosomal RNA", at positions 340 to 786 of the family's 1533-position model. The record is from RNAcentral.